RNAcentral lists this ribosomal RNA (468 nucleotides) under uncultured bacterium. RNAcentral describes it as "partial 16S ribosomal RNA". It matches the Rfam family "Bacterial small subunit ribosomal RNA", at positions 28 to 507 of the family's 1533-position model. The record is from RNAcentral.
GACGAACGCUGGCGGCGUGCUUAACACAUGCAAGUCGAACGGAAAGGCCCUGCUUUUGCGGGGUGCUCGAGUGGCGAACGGGUGAGUAACACGUGAGUAACCUGCCCUUGACUUUGGGAUAACUUCAGGAAACUGGGGCUAAUACCGGAUAGGAUCUCCUGCUGCACGGUGGGGGUUGGAAAGGUUCGGCGGUUGGGGAUGGACUCGCGGCUUAUCAGCUUGUUGGUGGGGUAGUGGCUUACCAAGGCUUUGACGGGUAGCCGGCCUGAGAGGGUGACCGGCCACAUUGGGACUGCGAUACGGACCAGACUCCUACGGGAGGCAGCAGUGGGGAAUAUUGCACAGUGGGCGGAAGCCUGAUGCAGCAACGCCGCGUGCGGGAUGACGGCCUUCGGGUUGUAAACCGCUUUCGCCUGUGACGAAGCGUGAGUGACGGUACUGGGUCAAGAAGCACCGGCUAACUACGUG